This 662-nucleotide ribosomal RNA is filed under the name uncultured cyanobacterium. RNAcentral's name for it is "bacterial SSU rRNA". It matches the Rfam family "Bacterial small subunit ribosomal RNA", at positions 99 to 795 of the family's 1533-position model. Lineage: Bacteria; Bacillati; Cyanobacteriota. The record is from RNAcentral.
CGGACGGGUGAGUAACGCGUGAGAAUCUGCCCUCAGAAUGGGAACAACGGUUGGAAACGACCGCUAAUACCCGAUGUGCCGAAAGGUGAAAGAUUUAUCGUCUGAGGAGGAGCUCGCGUCUGAUUAGCUAGUAGGUGUGGUAAGAGCGCACCUAGGCAUCGAUCAGUAGCUGUUCUGAGAGGAAGAUCAGCCACACUGGGACUGAGACACGGCCCAGACUCCUACGGGAGGCAGCAGUGGGGAAUUUUCCGCAAUGGGCGAAAGCCUGACGGAGCCAGACCGCGUGAGGGAAGAAGGCUCUUGGGCUGUCAACCACUUUUCUCAGGGAAGAAGUUCUGACGGUACCUGAGGAAUCAGCCUCGGCUAACUCCGUGCCAGCAGCCGCGGUAAUACGGAGGAGGCAAGCGUUAUCCGGAAUUAUUGGGCGUAAAGCGUCCGCAGGGGGCGCAUCAAGUCUGCUGUUAAAGGCUGGAGCUUAACUCCGGUAGAGCAGUGGAAACUGGUGCGCUAGAGGGCGACAGGGGUAGAGGGAAUUCCCAGUGUAGCGGUGAAAUGCGUAGAGAUUGGGAAGAACACCGGUGGCGAAAGCGCUCUACUGGGUCGCACCUGACCCUCAGGGACGAAAGCUAAGGUAGCGAAUGGGAUUAGAUACCCCAGUAGUC